RNAcentral lists this long non-coding RNA (4263 nucleotides) under Capsicum annuum. RNAcentral's name for it is "long non-coding RNA (CANN_LNC017387)". The record is from RNAcentral. Lineage: Eukaryota; Viridiplantae; Streptophyta; Magnoliopsida; Solanales; Solanaceae.
GUUUAUAUAGAUGCAUUUAUUGUGAAAGAAAAAUAUCUAUUGCACCAAGAUGCACUAAUUCGUGGUUAAAAUAGACUAGUGUGUAUAAAACAUAAUAAUGUUCAUUUAUUUACGAGAUUUUGAAAUAAUGGUUACAAAUAAAUUUAUAAAUUUAAUACUGGAAUAUGAAUAUACAGUUGAAAUAGAAUGUAAAUAAUAAAAAUAAUAAAUUAGGAAAAAUGAUAACUAUGUAGAAAUAACUUGUAUAUUGUAGAGCAUAAAUUUAAAUAUACCUCGUAUUUUAUUCUUUUGGAUAUCUGAAAAGGAGAACUCAUGCAAACGUUAAAAUUAAAAUAUUAGAUUUAUUAACUUGUUAGAAAUAAAUUAACGAAUAAAGUCUAUCAAAAAUCGAGUUUAGCGAUUUGCUUUCCCAUUAAAUUAGUUUUGAAAUUUCAUUUGUUUGUUUUAAAGCUUACGUUGAGGUUGAGAUAUUAUUUUAGUUAGGAAGAAUAUUUUUGAGCUGAAGCAUUAGUUUUCAAAAAGGAAUAGCCAAAUUUUGAAAUGAUAAAGUCCUUUUAAAAGCGAAAUCUACAUCUUGACGAGUUAAGACAAAUAAUAAGGCAACAUAAAUCAAUAACCAAAUAAAGUAUCUCAGAGAAUUUAAUUACAAGAGUUAAUUAUUAUUCUAAAAAACAUCACAUGAUAAAUGUAAAUUAAACCAAAAGAAUAUAAGAAAUACUAGACUCCAUUUAGAGGCUUAAACUCUUGAUUCACGUGACUCCGAAGCUCUGCAAUCCUAGUAGCGGUUGAUCCGAUAUUUGGGUCAAAACAAGUUCCGUUGAGGAACCCCAACUCCCGAGUUCACAUGAAAAGACAAGGAGUUAGAAAUGAGUUUAUCUAUAUAAGAUCAACCAAAAUAGCUAAUAAGGAUAAUACAUAACUGAAACCAAGAACACAUUUAACUUAAAUUAUAGAAUUCAAAGAAACUACCAUGAUUCACUUACUACAUUUUGAACAAGUAGACAGAAACGAAGGAAUAAAGAAGAAUAUAACAUUAUUUCGUACCUAGGUGGAAAACAGCCCUCUGUUGAAACAAAUGAACUUUAAAAAGUUAAAAAAAGACGAAACCACAACUUUAAAAUUGUUUUCCAGAAAAACAAACAACAAUAUCACCAUAAAACUUGAGACUAAGAAAAAUCAUGUAUUCAUAUAGCCAAAUAAACAAGAGAAAGGGAAAGAAAAUGAAACAAAAAAGUACGAAGGCAGAGACAGAAUUUCCACAAAGAGGGUUCAAAAUUUCAAAAAAAAAAUAAUCGAAGGGGGUUCAACAUCUAUUAUAUAUACACUAAAAUGAUAAUUUUAGAGAUGUAUAAAUAGUAUAUUUUCCAAUGAAUGGGGUUCACAUUAUAAAGGCUGGCUCCAUCUCACUCCUUGUUUAAGACUGCAUCAGGGGGUUGAAGUUAAGAAACCUAAUGAUACACAAUCAUAUAUGUAUAUUCAUGCUUCGUACAAGAAAAAGGUUUCAAUACUCAAAACUGUGUAUUGUUCGAGGGCAGCGUCAUCUAACCAAUAACACUUACCAGACACGUAUUGUCAUAAAAAAAUAAAACAAGAACCAAGAUAAAAUUAAGAAAAUAAAUUUUAAUAACUGGCAGCCCAUUCAUAUUGUGAUUAAAUGGGAGCCUUUUUCUCACUGUAUUAUAUCAAUACCAAAUAGACAAGUAGUAGCCAAAAUGACUGAGAAUCAAAACAGUGAAGAAACAUGAAGUUAUAACUCCAUGUCAUCCACUUUUAAAUUUUUUUAUCUUAUUUACCUACUAGCAUAUUAUCAUUUAUCCUUCAACGUAAAUCAUCAAAUGGAUGGCUGCUAAUUCAAACUAUGCAGCACCAUUGUUACAUAUCAUGAUCCAAUAGGUACUAGCCUCUGUACGAUCAGAUCUUGAAUGAAAGAAUGGAAGGAAAUAAUUUAGUGGCUAACAUUCAUAUGACUAUUUUCCUUACUAUUGUGAAAGGUAUAAGUUGCUCAUGAUUCUAACCAUAUUCUUCACAUAUCAACAACCAUAUACUAUCCAAACCCAAAGCAAAAAUAGAGGAGAACAAUUUUAAAAAGAACAUUGCUGUAUCAAAACAGUUACCAAGACUAAAAAAUAACAAAAAUCGAAUUUAUUAAUCCUCAUGUGGCACAGAUAGUGAACAACCUAUGUUAAAGGUUGAGCAAGUAAUGUGUAAACACUUAUUCAAUCAAGCAAAACAAAAGCAAAGGGAAGAGAUUUGCUCAUAUUUGACCCCUAUCAAGACUUUUUCUAUUUACCAGAAGGCACAAAGACCAAAGGUAGAAAUCGAGUUGCCGAUUUGGACAAGUUAACAAGUCUCCUUUUUUUCGUCAAAACAAACAAGAGAAAAGUGUGCGAACAAAGCCGAAGCUACAACUCCCAAUGAUGGAACCAUUUUAACAUUUUUGCAAUAUCCCGUUAUUGAUUUUAAAUAUAAAACGAACAAAUUCGAACACAAAACCAAUGGUUCUUACGUGACCCACUAGAAAACUAGUUUGCAAGUCUAAGUCGAUGAGCAAAACCAAAACAUAUCCUUAUCCUAACAAGCAGUGAGUUAGAACCCCAAAAAUCAAGAUUUAGUCAUUUUUUAGAACUUAAAACGGUAAAAUCCUUCCAGUGCUAUAUAAGAAUCUAAAAUUUUCUAUUUAAACGCACAAUCCAUCCUAGAUAUGUCAUGUCACAAUUGAUGCCAUAUUCAAGUAUUCAAGCAUCAAGUUACAUGAUUCCGUGAUGGAUAGCCAAACAUUCUUAAAGCAUCAAGUUACAUGAUUCCGUGAUGGAUAGCCAAACAUUCUUAAAGCAUCAAGUUACAUGAUUCCGUGAUGGAUAGCCAAACAUUCUUAAAGCAUCAAGUUACAUGAUUCCGUGAUGGAUAGCCAAACAUUCUUAAAGUUUUAUGUCUUAUAGAACCCUUUUUCAAUAGAAGUAUAGCUAUCAAAUCCUUGCAACCAUAUCAACAAAACAAAGACAUACACAAGCCGCUAUUAUCAUGUUCAAAGCCUUAAAACUGACAUCAAACUGACCCUAAACAGUUCACCAAAUAUAUAUUGAAAAAAUUUGAAGUUUUAUGGAGUCCAUUCAAAACUAAUUCAAACUUGAGAAUAGUCUAUAAUCAUACUAACAAACAUAUAUAUGAAUCUAAACAAUGCAAGAACUACCGCUUUCGAGUUCACACUCAUAACUAGCAAACAUAACAACUCACUUUGUUAAAACUUCAAACUUUAUAUGCUUUAUUCUAGCCAAAUAAAAAUAAAUUCACAUACAUAUCAUCCAACGAGAAUAAAAUUAUAUGACCAGAAAACUACUUUGAUUUUACAUUUUAUGCCUCAAAAAUCAGUUGGCUAGUAUCCGGCUAACCACACCAUCGACGCCUAACAAAACUAAGUGCAAUGUAAUUAAGACGGGAUAGGAUUUACCUUGUCUGGCGCAAUAAACUGGGGUUUUGACGACAAGGAUUUGACGAUGAACUCGAGAAGCUCAGUUCUAGAACCUAAUCGACAAGACUUUUUUUCUUACUGUAUUUUGUUUCUUUUUCACUCUCUUUUCUUUCUUUUUCCACCUUGUACUCACUCCUAUUUCUUGUUUUUUCCUUUUGUAACGUCUUUUGAUCCCCUUUUUCCUCUGCCCCAAAGGAAUGGCUGAAGCCCCCCUUUAUAGGCACAUUUUGGAGUGUAUAAGUUUCUAAAAGAGGCUCUCUAUAGGAUUUAAAUUUGAAAUUCAAAAUUAUUAAUGGGACAAUCCACAGAGCUUGAACAGAUAUAGAGAGAGGGAAAAAGGGUUUACCUCUUUUAGAUUGAUUUAAAGGAGAACGAAAGUAGAAAAUUAGGUUGUACAAACCUUAUCCUUAUAAUGUGUAGAUUUUCUCCUCUCUUCCAAGCUAAGAAUGGAGAGGAUGAGACUUUUGCAACCUGAAGAGCCAAAGAAAAUAGGAAAAGGGGCAGGAUUUGUAUCAACCGAAUUUCCCGUUGAUCUCAACGAAAAUUCGAUGGAUUUGAGGUGAGGGAGAUGAGUUGCGCAGGGGAGUAGUUGAAGUUUUGUCUAGGUAGGGGUAUGCUAGGGUGUUAAGGCGAUGAAGAUGGUGAAGUGAAAGAGAAGAAAGACACGUGUUCUGAUGUUGGGGUGAGAAAAAGUUGUAUCUUCGGGCUUAUUUUGUUGACUGAAAUUUGUUAGUAUGAACAUUUGAUCGGAUGAUUCUGAUUUAAUAUAAGAAUAAAAGAAAAAAUAAUAAUAA